UGGUCAUAUCAUGUUGAAAUACCAGUUCCCGUACAAUCAGCAAAUUUAAGCAAUGUCGAGCCUGGUCAGUACCUAGAUGGGUGCCCGCUUGAGAAUACCAGGUGCUGUAAG
Non-coding RNA from Acanthosepion pharaonis, 111 nucleotides. Lineage: Eukaryota; Metazoa; Mollusca; Cephalopoda; Sepiida; Sepiidae. The record is from the annotation of a GenBank genome assembly.